GACAGAGGGUGCAAACGUUGUUCGGAAUUACUGGGCGUAAAGCGCGUGUAGGCGGUUAUGCAAGUCGGGUGUGAAAGCCCGGAGCUCAACUCCGGAAGUGCAUUCGAUACUGCGUAGCUAGAGUACUGGAGAGGAUGGUGGAACUCUCGGUGUAGAGGUGAAAUUCGUAGAUAUUCGCAAGAACACCAGUGGCGAAGGCGGCUCACUGGGCCAAUACUGACGCUGAGGAGCGAAAGCGUGGGGAGCGAACAGG
RNAcentral lists this ribosomal RNA (253 nucleotides) under uncultured bacterium. Its description in RNAcentral is "partial 16S ribosomal RNA". It matches the Rfam family "Bacterial small subunit ribosomal RNA", at positions 524 to 776 of the family's 1533-position model. The record is from RNAcentral.